Herpailurus yagouaroundi (jaguarundi) is the source of this 2345-nucleotide RNA transcript. It is a transcript of the gene named MGAT4 family member D, with no coding region annotated. The transcript is spliced from 12 exons. The record is from RefSeq and is a predicted model, not a curated record. NCBI's taxonomy places the organism in Eukaryota, Metazoa, Chordata, Mammalia, Carnivora, Felidae.
UGCGGGGGGCGCUGCUUGUUGCCUCCACUCGCCGCGCCGCCGUCGCCCGCGUCAGGCCGGCUCCAUGAGGACGAAGCACGUGAACGUGCUGAUCGCGCUGGCCGCCUUCGUGCUUUUCAGCUUCUCCUGCUUCUGCAUCUCCAGGAUGACUCAAACUAGUAAUCAAUUAAUUAAUUGUAGAAACCAUAUUUUGGAAUUUAAGGAGAAAAUUCUACGUUUAAAAAAUAAAACUGAAAGAAAUCGCCAAGAGCUGAUCAAUGCCUUGAGUAAAAUGAAGUAUGAAAUGACACAGAGAGAAAAUACGUCCACAGACUUAGUUGAGAAGAAAAUGAAUACAUUGGGUAAGGAUGAAACAGUGUCUAAUAAUACAUUUGAAGUCCUAAAGUUCUUUUUCCCUCAUCUAAGGAAAGUGGGCAGAAUUUAUCCUGAUGUAAUCAUUGGCAAAGAGAAAACAGGUGUCUCUUUUGCGCUGGGUAUUUCCACUGUUAGCAGAGGAAAUCAAAGUUACCUGAAGCAAACCCUGAAUUCUGUUGUCUCCAGGAUGACUCUCUCAGAAGAGAAGGACUCUGUGGUGAUUGUCUCGGUGGCAGAUAGAAAUGAAGAUUAUUUAAAAUCUGUUGUGGACAUGAUUACAAAAAGAUUCAAAAGGCAGCUGAAGUCUGGAUCCUUGGAAGUCAUUUCAAUACCUGCCUUUUUUUAUCCAAACAUGUUACAUGUCAAGCAGUCAACUGAGGACUCAGGAAAAUUAGAGAGUUGGCGCAUCAAACAAGUACUGGAUUUUUGUUUUUUGAUGCUUUAUGCGCAACCAAAGGCCAUGUAUUAUUUACAGCUAGAAGAUGAUAUCAUAGCUAAAAAGAUGUACUUUACAAAAAUCACAGAUUUUGUGCAUAAUAUCACUUCAAAUAAUUGGUUUUAUAUUGAGUUUUCAAUUCUUGGAUUCAUAGGAAAGCUAUUUAAAUCUGAGGACUUAACUGACUUUGUGCGUUUUUUUUUAAUGUUCUACAAAGAUAAACCCAUAGAUUUGCUUUUGGGGGACAUUUUUCAGGUAAAGAUGUGUAACCCAGGAGAGACCCCUGAAAAAUGUGCAGAACGAAAUAAGCAAAUUCGUAUUCGAUAUAAACCUUCUCUUUUCCAGCAUGUGGGUAUACAGUCAUCAUUCCCUGGAAGAGAACAAUAUUCCAAAGAUAUUUAUUAUUAGGAGUUUCAUAAUUCGAGUACCUUCUUUAAAAAUGAUCAGCAUCAUUCUUUGGAAAAAAUGACAUAAUGAGGAUUAGUCUUAGUUCUCAACUUUCUUCAAAGUGGCUAAGAGACUAUCUCAUAUAAAAAUAUAAGCCUUUGAUAAUAUAGUGAAAAUAUGAAGAUAAUAAGCAUAACAAGAAAAAUUCUGUAAUACAUUGGAACCUCAAAUAAGCCUGAUUUCUCAUGGCAUCUUUCAGAAAUUAUAAUAAUGAAAAUGCAUAAUCGUAUAGAAAAGAAUUCAGAAAUUAACACACUUGUAGGCUUGAAAGUGUUAAGCUCCCUCUUAUGUCAAGGAAAAUUACAGUGUUUAUUUAUGAUGUUUGUACCCUUACUAUUAUAAUUUAAUUAAAAAAAUAGUAAAGGCAGGGAAGUUUUUGAAAAUUAAGAAAUGAAUUUUGUUGACGUAGUUAUGCUAUCACAUAAUCUUAAUAAAUAGCUAAUAGUUCAGAAACUUGUCAUGGAUAGGUUCUGUGUAAAUUGGUAUAUGUUCUUAUCCAUUUUGUUAGGACAUCUAAAGAAAGCACAAUUUAAGCCUGGGUCUGGCAGUGCCACAAUAUCUUCUUGUCUUUUAAAUAAGUGCAUUUAAAACUAUAAACUUACCCCUAAAGUGCUGUUUGAACUGGUUUACCAACCUCUUGAUAUUUAUGUAUUCUGAUAGUCAUUCAGUUCUAAAAGAUUUUGUAAUUUCUCUUAUUAUUACUUUCUUAGCUCAUGGGUUAUUUGGGACUGGUUUUUUUUUUUCAAAUAUGUUGGUUUUUGCCAUCUUUUACUGUUGAUUUCUCAUUUAAUUACAUUGUUCUUAGUGGAUUUUAUCUGUGUGAUGAGAUUUGAGAAUUGUUAAGAAUGCUUAUGUUUCACGUGAAUUUGAAAAGAAUGAAUAGUGUCUGUAGACUCCCUUUAAAAUAUGUUGCAUUCAUUUGUUUCUUAUAAAUGUGUUUUGUGCUUUGAAAACGUCUUCUUAAAUAUUCCCAAUUAUUGGGUGCAGAAUUCUCUUAUAUCAGGCUUUUUAAUUUACUUAUUCAGGUUUUUAAAAUUCUUCCUAAUUUUUGUCUGCUUGAUUAUCAGUUUUUAUAGGAGUCUAUUAAACUCCACUAUUCUUCUUGUUA